This 1100-nucleotide long non-coding RNA is filed under the name Coccomyxa subellipsoidea. Its description in RNAcentral is "long non-coding RNA (CSUB_LNC000073)". Lineage: Eukaryota; Viridiplantae; Chlorophyta; Trebouxiophyceae; Coccomyxaceae. The record is from RNAcentral.
UAGAAAAGGCUUUGUGGAAGGAAAUGGAGAACCCACCUCCGCCACCAGGACCUUCAGGGCUGCCUCCCGGAAAGGGAGAAGGAGAAGGCAGCAGCUCCUCCAGCAAUCAGAGGCAGCCAGUGCUGGAUCUAUUUGGCGGAGAUAUGAUGCCUGCAGCAAUCGUUCUCGUCCUGUUGCUCCUCAAUCUCAUGAGCGGUGCGCCAUCUUUGGAGGGUCAGACCUUGGUCCUUGUUCAACGGAGCAAUAGAGCUAAAUACAGCUGAAGGCUCCUUUGUGGCAGAAUGCAAACAGACAGCUGAGUGUUUCUGUGUGUGUGCAGCAUCAAUGCAGCGGUGCACCUGCUGACUGGUGGUUGUCCAAGCAUCCCCCGCAGCUUGCAACUGGAACAUGUAUAGAUUGAACAAUUCACAGAACGGCAAGUGCCAGAAUGAAACGAACCGUGGGAGCUACAGAUAUGCAAAUGUACAUAAGUUAAGAACACUUCUGUGCCUUGACAAAUUUAUCGCCCCACCAAUUGACAAGCUCAUGUGGCCUGCUGUGAAUUCACCCAUGGUAGGAGGGUAGUACGUCAGAAGGCAGAAUGCUUUGGUCUAAUUUUGGACGCAUGCGGGGUCAAUCGGGGACCUGUCUCCUGAACAACGAAUGAUAAGCAUUGCAUCCAUUUGAUGCUGUCCAAGGAGCUUAUUUUGAAUUGGGCUUCCAAUGUCUGCAGCUGCCAGCACCGUGGAGCGCAGUGGGUAAAAAUAAGGCAGAGAUUUCCGAGAGUCUCUAGAAACGUCCGAGGGUUGCUAGAUCAGCAAUAGAUUGCGUCGGUCUGCGAAAGAAUGACCAGGAUACUGUAGAGUAAAAUAUGCACGCAAUCCUGCGUACUCUAGUGCGCUGUGCGCAGGUCAUGUGCAGGUGCACCUGCCGGAGGUUCCAGCAACUUGCCAUUGCAAAUUGCAAGCUUGACUUUGAAAUUUCAUCCAUGAAACUUAGUUACUCACGUUCAUUGCAGGUGCUGCCGUGUUUGCUUGCAACUGCAUCCAACGAGUCAUGCUUUUACUUCCAUGCAUAUAGUGGAUCCCGGUAUAGCGAUUUAUGCAUCGAGGUGAUGAUAA